RNAcentral lists this ribosomal RNA (55 nucleotides) under Cylindrocladiella lageniformis. Its description in RNAcentral is "partial 28S ribosomal RNA". Lineage: Eukaryota; Fungi; Ascomycota; Sordariomycetes; Hypocreales; Nectriaceae. The record is from RNAcentral.
ACUUUCUGAGUUUGACCUCGAAUCAGGUAGGAUUACCCGCUGAACUUAAGCAUAU